Molecule: long non-coding RNA, 1220 nt
Organism: Mytilus trossulus (common blue mussel)
Lineage: Eukaryota; Metazoa; Mollusca; Bivalvia; Mytilida; Mytilidae
Exons: 3
Source: RefSeq, a predicted model, not a curated record
GUUUUUAGACCCUUCAUUGUUGACCAGUGGAAAACUUCCCGCCGAAGUGUUUCAAAUAGCACUUUGUCUUCAAACGAACAAGAUGGACACAUGCAGUUUACAGAAGCAAAAGAUUUGAUUUGAACUGUUCGUGAAACCACACAUACUCAAGAGAAUUUACAAGACUAUUAUCCACAAAAUGCAACAGUCUUAUUUUGAUGAAUUGUUGAACCAGAGAAAUGUGAAGACUUACAGACACCUAGACUGUAUAGUCAACAUAACAAUGAUUAGAGAAUCAGACUACAGUGAACAUUACAAUGAUUAGAAAAUCAGACUAGAGUCAACAUUACAAUGAUUAGAGAAUCAGACUAUAGUCAACAUUACAAUGAUUAGAAAAUCAGCCAGCUGCAUUUCAUCAAUCAGUUUAUGAUGAAGCUUUACAGCAUUGGAAAUGAUUACUCGGGGACCAAACAACUGAGCAGAAAGAAGAACCGUAUGACCUUGAAGAGUAAGCAAUGUAUUAAGUAUAUUUGGGGUUACCAAAGAGUAUGGUAAGAACCUCAUCUUAAAUUAUACUUGGUGAGUAUUCUUAUUGUUGGUUAAAUAUUAAGCAUCAUUAUGGAAAAUGGGGGAUCAAGGGUAUACACCAACAAGACAGUGACCAAAGGAAAAUAAAUAACCAAAACCAUCUAGAGGUUUCAACUAUAGUCUGAUGUUUAUACAAUACGUGAACUUGUAAAUCAUCCAAAGUCUAAAAUAUUUGUGAAUAAAAGGAACAGACUGACAAAUAACUUACAUACACACAAAUAUCUGACCUAAGCACAUGAGCAUGUUGCAGGGUGAAAUUUUUUUUUUAAAUAAAGCUUGAGCCUGUUUUGUGCAAUGCCUAACCAUUUAACGACAAAAUUUCAUACAGAAAACUUUUCAAAUUGAGGGGUUUCAAAUUUUAAAUAAGCCAAUUUAUGGUUUAAAAAAAUAAUGGAAAUCUGGACUCCCCAACAAGAGAAAAAUGUCACUCUUAUAAUUGAGGAAAAUGGCCACUACCUGAAUGGUCUUUAGAAUUAAUUCAGUUGCUCUGGUCAUUUUUCAUAAUUUAACAAUGUAAGUAAAUAUGGAGUUGUUUGAUCAAUGGGAGAUAACUCUGACCACAUGGAAUAAUUCUGAAAACUUAAAGAGGGGUCCUGAUCCCGAAAUCCCGGGCUUAAAAACACAAAAUCCUGAGCUCCCGAAAUUUAAAUAAA